GGAGGGAGGGCGUUCACCGCAGACUUGCCAAGACGGUUUUGCUGGCUUCCUUCUGACGGGGUCGGGUGUGCUCCCAAGUCCGACGUGCUCCGAGGUGGUUGAGAGCUGAUUUGCUCCCCUCCCCCUCCCCUGCCACCUUUAAUGCUUAGUUCCUUCGUUUUGCUAAGUCCUGACACCACGGGCAGCACGGAGGGUUCUCUCGGAUGCAGGAUGCACCGGCCAGUCGGUCGGGCGGCUAGACCACAAGGCUGCGCAGGGGGCGGGGGGCCUUGGACCAACUUUGACUUGGCCUUCUGCGACCCGUGCUGACGUCACGGCCCCAGGACCCGUUCGGUCAGCGGAGGAGAAGCCCCUGGGUCUCGGGAGUCGGGUCUAGGCCGACGCGGACGCACACAACUGUUAGGCGCACCGAGCCUGCCUCGGUCCGCAGUCCCUCCCGCCAGGCGGACCCGCAGCUGGGGCAGGAGGAAAGCGAGAUCAACAGGAUCCCAUUGCAGAACCACGCGCCUGCGAGGGUCGGGAUGCGCCCUGUCCAAGAAGCCAACGGAGGACCCGGCCCGAGGAGACGUGACCGGGCGAUGAACCUCAGAAUCUGGCGGACAACUUCCAGAAAGUUUGCCAGGCCAGUCUGAAGGGAGCUGGGACCCGAAGAGUAGAGAAUAGCAACCUGGUUGCGGGGCUACCGAGGAAGUUCCUUCUCUGCUGCCGGAGAAAAGAUUUGGUAGGAAGUGAAGAGUCUGAAGAUGCAGGUGGAGUUGGGGUGCGGUGAAGUCCUCCGCAUUAGGCGCUCAGGACCCCCCCCCCCACACACACACACACACAAUUCCCCAGGGUCAGAUGGCAGAGUAACUCUACUUAUGCUUGAGCGCUGGCCUGUUGGAGGGAGGGGCGGGAAGGCACCGUGCGCUGCCUGCCUGCUUUUGUUGUUUUUGGUUUUUUUUGGGGGGGGGGCAGUUUUGCAGACAUUUUAAACCCCGAAACGAAGUAACCUACCACAGAUCUGCUUAGUUUUCUGGGAAGCAGUGGCCUAAUACCCUUUCUCGCGCUUGAGGCCAGAGUCCUGCACUUAGACGAACUCACGGGAGCCAAUGGUUGCGGGAAUCCAAGCUCUGGCGUGGACCUAGAUCGAACCUUCUUUUCUUAAGAGCAGGUGGUAUCGCACCCUGGAACCCAGCCCAGGCCAAACUACAUGAUCUCUCCCCCUUUUCUGGUGCUCUAAGUUGGUAUCUCCACAGGUCUGAGACGCUUUCUUUCCACAAGCUGAGGUUGGUGGUGUUCGGGUAAAGAACGUUAUGGACGGAAGCAGAAAAAAACCCGUUCUGGGCUGAGAUAACCGUGCCCACCCCGUAGGACGCCUCUGCCCAGCUUCCCAGGCCACUCAUGCUGUUAGCAUCUGCUAAUAUGAGCAGCUGCCCAGAAGAGACUGGAAGUGAAGGCCCACUUGAGCCGCUAGCCUCAGGGAGAGCAUGCCCAGGUUGAGGCAACAGUAUGAGCCCCCCACCCAACACUACACACACACACACACACACACACACACACACCCUAACACAACUCACUGUAGGUUUGGACACACCUUCAUGCACACAUCUUGUACAUAUGAAGUGGACGCCCAUGGGGGGCGCGCUCACCUCUGAUGUGGCCCUCUCAUCCAAGGGACCCUUUCAAAAAGUUUGGCCUCACAGUAUGCUCUCAUAAACACGUUGCCUGCAGGCACAACCACUUGGUGGUGAGUGAUCUCAAACUCAGACGCCUGCAGAAUCCCACGUCGUGAGCCUGCACCCUCAACAUUGAGCAUAACUAUCUCAGCACGGAACCUUAGACCUCCUCCGUCUGCUGGGAUAGAGACCUUCACUCCAAAUGAAGUGGUUGACAGAGAGGGCCCAACUCACUUUCAGAAGUGUCCUCAGCUCAGAGUCAU
Onychomys torridus (southern grasshopper mouse) is the source of this 1918-nucleotide long non-coding RNA. RefSeq lists it as uncharacterized. The record is from RefSeq and is a predicted model, not a curated record. The transcript has 3 exons. NCBI's taxonomy places the organism in Eukaryota, Metazoa, Chordata, Mammalia, Rodentia, Cricetidae.